GAUGAAGAACGUAGCGAAAUGCGAUACGUAAUGUGAAUUGCAGAAUUCAGUGAAUCAUCGAAUCUUUGAACGCGUAUUGCGCUCUCUGGUAUUCCGGAGAGCAUGCUUGUUUGAGUAUCAGUAAACACCUCAACUUCCAUAUCUUUUUUUGAAAUGGGAGUUGGACUUGAGUGAUCCCAACGCUUUUCCUCACCGAAAAGUGGCGGGUUACUUGAAAUGCAGGUGCAGCUGGACUUUUCUCUGAGCUAUAAGCAUAUCUAUUUAGUCUGCCUAAAAAACAGAUUAUUACCUUUGCUGCAGCUAACAUAAAGGAGAUUAGUUCUUGUGAUGACUGAUGCAGGAUUCACAAAGACAGCUUCGGCCGACUUUGUAAACUCGAUCUCAAAUCAAGUAAGACUACCCGCUGAACUUAAGCAUAUCAAUAAGCGGAGGA
RNAcentral lists this unclassified non-coding RNA (433 nucleotides) under soil metagenome. Its description in RNAcentral is "partial contains 5.8S ribosomal RNA, internal transcribed spacer 2, and large subunit ribosomal RNA". The stretch from base 1 to 120 matches the Rfam family "5.8S ribosomal RNA", at positions 35 to 154 of the family's 154-position model. The record is from RNAcentral.